Molecule: ribosomal RNA, 440 nt
Filed under: uncultured bacterium
Lineage: Bacteria
Description: partial 16S ribosomal RNA
Rfam family: Bacterial small subunit ribosomal RNA
Source: RNAcentral
CCUACGGGGGGCAGCAGUGGGGAAUAUUGGACAAUGGGCGAAAGCCUGAUCCAGCCAUGCCGCGUGAGUGAUGAAGGCCUUCGGGUUGUAAAGCUCUUUCAGUGGGGAAGAUAAUGACGGUACCCACAGAAGAAGCCCCGUCUAACUUCGUGCCAGCAGCCGCGGUACUACGACGGGGGCUAGCGUUGUUCGGAUUUACUGGGCGUAAAGCGCACGUAGGCGGAUCGUUAAGUCGGGGGUGAAAUCCUGGGGCUCAACUCCGGAACUGCCUUCGAUACGGGCGAUCUUGAGUCCGGAAGAGGUGAGUGGAACUCCUAGUGUAGAGGUGGAAUGCGUAGAUAUUAGGAGGAACACCGGUGGCGAAGGCGGCUCACUGGUCCGGUACUGACGCUGAGGUGCGAAAGCGUGGGGAGCAAACAGGAUUAGAUACCCCAGUAGUC